This 253-nucleotide ribosomal RNA is filed under the name uncultured bacterium. RNAcentral's name for it is "partial 16S ribosomal RNA". It matches the Rfam family "Bacterial small subunit ribosomal RNA", at positions 524 to 776 of the family's 1533-position model. The record is from RNAcentral.
UACGGGGGGGGCAAGCGUUGUUCGGAAUUACUGGGCGUAAAGGGCUCGUAGGCGGCCAACUAAGUCAGACGUGAAAUCCCUCGGCUUAACCGGGGAACUGCAUCUGAUACUGGAUGGCUUGAGUUCGGGAGAGGGAUGUGGAAUUCCAGGUGUAGCGGUGAAAUGCGCAGAUAUCAGGAAGAACACCGGUGGCGAAGGCGGCUCUCUGGGCCUUACCUGACGCUGAGGAGCGAAAGCGUGGGUAGCGAACAGG